This is a long non-coding RNA of Bos taurus (domestic cattle), 2160 nucleotides long. The record is from Ensembl. Lineage: Eukaryota; Metazoa; Chordata; Mammalia; Artiodactyla; Bovidae.
AAACUGUACUCCACUAUCUGCAUUGUCCUUCUGAGUGAGUUUGUUUCCCGGAACACAUGGCUACAACAUUUGGUGCAUUGGCUGGGAAACUCCUCACUUUGAGGAGACAAGUCCCAUUUGGGACUACUCCAAGGCCUUGCAGCUCGAAUCUUCUAGACGGGGGAAGGCGCCUCGCCCUUCCGGAAGCAUUCUGCUUCUCAACGCCCUGACCUUUCAUGUUAGCAGGUGGUGGACAGCAGCAGGGGAACUGAGUGCUCAGCCCACCAAGGCAGAACGGACUUUAAAAGUUAAGGGAGAAACAGUCUUGGAUCACGUGGUGUUCUGGUUUGGCCGUGCUGACCGGCCGGUGAAGACACGCCGAUCCCCCUUCUCCCUCUGGGAUCUGACAGGACAGAAUCUCAGAACUGCACCGCCUGCUCCCAGGUCAAUGCUGCCUCCCAGCACAGACAGAAACCUCCGGGGAUUCAGCUAAAAGGCACGCUGCCCUCUGAACACCUGGAAGUGGACUUCACUGAAAUGAAACCUCACCGACAUUACUGUUACCUGCUGGUCAUGAGCCUUGAAAAUGAAGAUGAAGUUAAAAUGAGGCUCUAAGAGUGGGCCUUAAUCCAAUGUCACUGGUGACUGUGUGAGAAGAAGAAAUUUGGACAUACAAAGGGACACCAGAAGUAUCUGCUGCAAGAAAAGACCACAUGAAGACACCAUGAAAAGACAGGCAUCUGCAGCCAUUAGGAAAGGCUUCAGAAGAAACCAAACCAAUUGAUGGUUCAGUCGCUCAGUCGUGUCCGACUCUCUGCAACCCCAUGGACUGCAGCACGCCAGGGCUUCCCUGUCCAUCACCAACUCCCGGAGCUUGCUCAAACUCAUGUCCAUCGAGUUGGUGAUGCCAUCCAACCAUCUCAUCCUCAACCAAUUGACACCUUGACCUUAAACUUCCCACCGCUGCAACUGUGAGAAAGUAAAUUCUGUUUUUUAAGCCAUUAGUCUGUGGUAUUUGUUAUGGCAGUUCUAGCAAGCUAAUGUAGCCUCUUGUAGCAAGUACCGGGGACUUCCCUGGUGGUCCAGCAGCUAAGACUCUGCUCUCAAUGCAGGGGGACUGGGUUCAACCCCUGGUUGGGGAACUGGAUCCUGCAUGCUGCAACUAACGGUUCGUAUGCCACAACUAAGAGUUUGUAUUCCACAACUAAAGAUCCUGAAUGUUGCAAUGAAGAUCAAAGAUCCUAGGUGCUGCAACUAAGACCCAGUGCAGCCAAAUUAAAAAAAGAAAAGUACUGAUACUUUAAUGCCCAAAUAUGUUCAAGUCAGAGCAAAUGUAUGAAAUAGUUCUGCAGUAUGCUGACUAAAGUACAGUUGGCCCUUGAACAACACCGGGUUUAGGAGAACUGACCCUCUGUGUAGCUGAAAGUCCAAAUAUAAUUUAUAGUUGGUCCUUCAUAUCUGUGGUGCCACACCUCAGAUCUUGUAAUACUAUUGUUAUUUACUAUUGAUAAAAAAUUCACCCAUAAGUGUACUAGUACAGUUCAAACCCAUGUUGUUCAAGGGUCAACUCUAGAUAAGAAUGGUCAUGGGCCAGAGAUCAGCUAAGGGGUUUGAGCUAUUCUGUUCCCCACAGCAACUGUAAGGGUUGAAGUUAUCAAUAUGUCAUGCACAUCUGUAACUCAUUUGUGAUACUUCAUCUGGGAAGCUCUUUUCCAAAGGAUACAUUUUAGGAAGAAGUAAAAUGAUCUCAUAAGGAAUGUCUUAUGAUCUCAUAAGGAAUUCACAGGAGAAAUUUCUUUCUAUAAUAUAUAUACUCUGAGCCCCAGGCAGAGUUUCAGAAUGGCUAUCUAAAAAAAAAAAGUAUUAAACAGAAGGACGCUACCUGAUGACUUCUCACGGAGCCAAGCUCCAACUUCUCUUACCACAGUUACCUUCCAGCUAUACUUUUUCUGCUUCUGCAUUUGGAUUCCAGUGAGUCGUGAGGGCAGAUCUGUGGGUAUAGCCACAUUCUCUCCUUGGGUUUCUCUCUGAAAAUACAAAGAUUUUUAUCUAAUGUUUGCUCCUAGCUUUAUAAUUCUCUUUUUAUAUUUUAUUUAUUGUCACUAUGUUUCGGACAGAGAUAAUGUGUUGAGAGUGAACAAAUGGAGACACCUUAAUCAGAAACCCAACAUAGCCAUUAUU